GAUGAACGCUGGCGGCGUGCCUAAUAUAUGCAAGUCGAGCGAACAGAUAAGGAGCUUGCUCCUUUGACGUUAGCGGCGGACGGGUGAGUAACACGUGGAUAACCUACCUAUAAGACUGGGAUAACUUCGGGAAACCGGAGCUAAUACCGGAUAACAUAUUGAACCGCAUGGUUCAAUAGUGAAAGGCGGCUUUGCUGUCACUUAUAGAUGGAUCCGCGCCGUAUUAGCUAGUUGGUAAGGUAACGGCUUACCAAGGCAACGAUACGUAGCCGACCUGAGAGGGUGAUCGGCCACACUGGAACUGAGACACGGUCCAGACUCCUACGGGAGGCAGCAGUAGGGAAUCUUCCGCAAUGGGCGAAAGCCUGACGGAGCAACGCCGCGUGAGUGAUGAAGGUCUUCGGAUCGUAAAACUCUGUUAUCAGGGAAGAACAAAUGUGUAAGUAACUGUGCACAUCUUGACGGUACCUGAUCAGAAAGCCACGGCUAACUACGUG
RNAcentral lists this ribosomal RNA (497 nucleotides) under uncultured bacterium. RNAcentral's name for it is "partial 16S ribosomal RNA". It matches the Rfam family "Bacterial small subunit ribosomal RNA", at positions 28 to 507 of the family's 1533-position model. The record is from RNAcentral.